Molecule: ribosomal RNA, 449 nt
Filed under: uncultured bacterium
Lineage: Bacteria
Description: partial 16S ribosomal RNA
Rfam family: Bacterial small subunit ribosomal RNA
Source: RNAcentral
AACGAACGCUGGCGGCAUGCCUAACACAUGCAAGUCGAACGAAGUCUUCGGACUUAGUGGCGCACGGGUGCGUAACGCGUGGGAACGUACCCUUUGGUUCGGAAUAGCCCUGGGAAACUGGGAGUAAUACCGGAUACGGUCGAGAGACGAAAGAUUUAUCGCCGAAGGAUCGGCCCGCGUUGGAUUAGGUAGUUGGUGGGGUAAUGGCCUACCAAGCCGACGAUCCAUAGCUGGUUUGAGAGGAUGAUCAGCCACACUGGGACUGAGACACGGCCCAGACUCCUACGGGAGGCAGCAGUGGGGAAUCUUAGACAAUGGGCGCAAGCCUGAUCUAGCCAUGCCGCGUGAGCGAUGAAGGCCUUAGGGUUGUAAAGCUCUUUCGGGGGGGAAGAUAAUGACUGUACCCCCAGAAGAAGCCCCGGCUAACUCCGUGCCAGCAGCCGCAGUAA